CAUUAAAAAAAAGCAACCCCCCCCCCUUCUCUCGCAAAUAUUUAGAUUGCUUUGGAUCCGCAUCUUCAUUCAAAUGCUGUGAAGAAGCUUAAUACUCACAGAAUCUACAAGGGAGGGUUUUUUUUUCUUCUAUUAAUUUUUGUUUUUUUUAAUGGCUUCAAGUUUUGAUCGGUGGGAGAAGGAUCCGUUCUUCUCUGCGGCUGAGGAAGUUCAAGAAUCAGCAGACAGGAUGGAAUCAACGUAUAGAACAUGGAUUCAUUCAAAGAAAGAGGAAUCUAGCAUGUGGGAUUCCGAGCAACUAUGUCGGGACCUACAUACUGCGCUAGGCACCACCAAAUGGCAGUUAGAGGAGUUUGCUCGGGCUGUCGGGUCGAGUUAUGUCAAAAGCUCUGUUGAUGAUGCGAGAGACAGGCAUCGUGAUUUUAUUGUCGCGAUCGAAGAUCAUAUUUUAAGAAUAGAAAAUUCGUUAAAGGAAUGUGCCCUUUCAGAGGGCAAGACUUCGUUGCCUUGGGUGCAUUUGGAUGAAGGGGAGUGCAAUGAACUUGCAUUGUUUUUGUCAGGGCCACCAACGACAUCUAGAGAGAAUAUAUCAAAAAAUCAUGUCAUGGAGAGUGGGAUGACACAAGAAGGAGGUGAAGAGUCUACCCCCCAUUCUUCAAAGAACUUGACUAAUUUGGUCAUGUGCUCCUCCUUGGAGCCCAGGGACGAGAAGUUGCAUGGGCAUAGGAGGACGGCUAGUGCCAGUGCUGAUAUUGGUGCGUGGAAAAUUGCUAUAGCUGAAGAUGUUUGCCUGUCUGAUCCUUGUAAUGAGAAGGCCCCCAUCCCACGACCCCCACGAAAGGUACCUAGUUUGUCUGGAAUCGUAUCUUCUAUGGAAUCUGUUUCUAAAUUCAACUGGCCAAAGAAUGGAGUUCGGAAAUGGAAGGCAAUGGAUCGUCAACAAGAAUCUGAUACAAUACCAUUGCAAUCUUCACAGUUAACUAGGGGCAUAGAUGCAUGCUAUGAGAAAAGUAAGAGUUGCCUGGAUAGUUAUAAUGAAUGUUAUGACAAGCAAAUUUAUGGCUGGUAUGGAGCUAUGCAGCGCCAACUUCAACGGUCCCAGUAUCAAAUGCAAUAUAGUCGGCCUGUCCAAGCAGCCUUGUCAGUUGUUUUUCUCUUUUGCUUAAUUGUCUUAAUUGUGCUACGUGCAAUUUAAGGUGCUGUUCAUCCUACAAAUUACAGCCUGGGGCAAUAAAUGGCUCGGAGGGCAUCACAGUGGUGAUAUGCGGAAAGAUGUUUUCGAGAGAACAAGAGCUUUUCAUUAUUAUCAAGUGACUGGUUCAGUAUAGCUGUUCAUGAAGUGGGGGAAUUGGAACUAUCAAACUACAAUUGGACAUCACCUAGAUUAUGUGCUUAAAGGGAGCCUCUCAAGAUGAGUGAAAAAAUGCGAGAAGGAAAGGAAAUGUUCCUGAUGCAUUUUAUUAACGGUAAGCCUUACAGAGGUAGUUGCUGAUCAAGUGACAGACAACUCUUAAAGAUACCGGUAACCAAAGUAGAAACCAGUAAACACUAAUGGCAGGACGAACUCAAGAAAAGCUUGAUACUUGGGCAUUUUAUCAUCAUCCUUGAUCACAAAGGCACUCAUUUCUUUGUGCUUGGAUUCCACGAAAGAAGCAUACUUGUCUGCCUCAUUGAAAGCGUGACCCUGAAGAACACCAACCUGGUACUUCAGGAGCAAGUUUUGGGCUUCCUUGCUGUGUCCAAUGUUACUGAAUUCCCUCGUCGCAUCCUUUCCUGCAACCUCUACAAGCAC
This is an RNA transcript of Populus trichocarpa (black cottonwood), 1792 nucleotides long. RefSeq lists it as uncharacterized. The record is from RefSeq and is a predicted model, not a curated record. NCBI's taxonomy places the organism in Eukaryota, Viridiplantae, Streptophyta, Magnoliopsida, Malpighiales, Salicaceae. The transcript has 6 exons.